GUGGUCAAGCUAAUAAGGGCUAACGGUGGAUACCUUGGCACACAGAGGCGAAGAAGGACGUGAUUACCGACGAAAUACUCCGGGGAGUUGGAAGUAGACAGUGAUCCGGAGAUGUCCGAAUGGGGAAACCCCUUGUACAGCCUGUUGAAUAUAUAGACAGGUAUGAGCCAACCCAGCGAACUGAAACAUCUUAGUAGCUGGAGGAAGAGAAAGAAAUUCGAUUCCCCUAGUAGCGGCGAGCGAAGCGGGAACAGCCUAAACCAGUUGUUAAGACAACUGGGGUUGUGGGACAGCGACAUGGAAUCGAUUAACUAGACAAAGCAGCGCGCAUACUGCACCAGAGAGAGUGAUAGUCUCGUAGUCGAAAGUGAAAAGAUACUAGCUGCAUCCCAAGUAGCACGGCUCACGUGGAAUCCCGUGUGAAUCAGCGAGAACCAUCUCGUAAGGCUAAAUACUCCUGUGUGACCGAUAGUGAACAAGUACCGCGAGGGAAAGGUGAAAAGAACCCCACAAGGGGAGUGAAAUAGAACAUGAAACCGUUAGCUUACAAGCAGUGGGAGGACGAUUCAACGUCUGACCGCGUGCCUGUUGAAGAAUGAGCCGGCGAGUUAUAGGCACUGGCAGAUUAAGCCGAAAAUGGCGAAGUCACAGCGAAAGCGAGUCUGAAAAGGGCGCAAAUAUUUUAUUGAAGUCAGUGUUUAUAGACCCGAACCUGGGUGAUCUAACCAUGUCCAGGAUGAAGCUUGGGUAACACCAAGUGGAGGUCCGCACCGACCGAUGUUGAAAAAUCGGCGGAUGAGGUGUGGUUAGCGGUGAAAUGCCAAUCGAACCCAGAGCUAGCUGGUUCUCCCCGAAAUGUGUUUAGGCGCAGCGGUUGUGAUUAUAGUUGGGGGGUAAAGCACUGUUUCGGUGCGGGCUGAGAAAUCGGUACCAAAUCGAGACAAACUCAGAAUACCCAAUGUACACACAGCCAGUGAGACGGUGAGGGAUAAGCUUCAUCGUCGAAAGGGAAACAGCCCAGACCAUCAGCUAAGGCCCCCAAAUUGUCACUGAGUGAUAAAGGAGGUGGGAGUGCAAAGACAACUAGGAGGUUUGCCUAGAAGCAGCCAACCUAUAAUGAGUGCGUAAUAGCUCACUAGUCAAGCGCUCCUGCACCGAAAAUGAAUGGGACUAAGUGACAUGCCGAAGCUGUGGGAUAAAUAAGAACGAUUUAUCGGUAGGGGAGCGUUCCGUCGUAGGUAGAAGCAGUAGCGGCGAGCAGCUGUGGACGAAACGGAAGUGAGAAUGUCGGCUUGAGUAGCGAAAACAUUGGUGAGAAUCCAAUGCCCCGAAACCCUAAGGUUUCCAGAGCAAGGUUCGUCCACUCUGGGUUAGUCAGGUCCUAAGGCGAGGCCGAACGGCGUAGUCGAUGGAUAACGGGUUAAAAUUCCCGUACUGAUUUAGGUUUGUGUAGAGGGACAAAGAAGGCAAUUGUCAGCCAGCGAUUGGUAGUGCUGGUUUAACUGUCCAAGGUGAUGAGAGGUGGAGAAAACACCGCAAGCUAAGGCAGGAGUACGACCCGAUACGUCGGGGAAGUGGCAUAGUCAUACUUUCAAGAAAAGCUCUAAACACGUUAAACCUAAGUCACCUGUACCCGAAACCGACACAGGUAGGGAGGUUGAGAAUACCAAGGGGCGCGAGAUAACUCUCUCUAAGGAACUCGGCAAAAUUGCCCCGUAACUUCGGAAGAAGGGGUGCCAGUGAAAGCUGGUCGCAGUGAAGAGAUCCAGGCGACUGUUUACCAAAAACACAGGUCUCCGCAAAGUCAAAUGACGACGUAUGGGGGCUGACGCCUGCCCAGUGCUGGAAGGUUAAGGAAGUCGGUCAGGGGGCAACCCUAAAGCUGGCAACCGAAGCCCCAGUGAACGGCGGCCGUAACUAUAACGGUCCUAAGGUAGCGAAAUUCCUUGUCGGGUAAGUUCCGACCCGCACGAAAGGCGUAACGAUCUGGAUGGUGUCUCAGAGAGAGACUCGGCGAAAUAGAAUUGUCUGUGAAGAUGCGGACUACCUACACCAGGACAGAAAGACCCUAUGAAGCUUUACUGUAGCCUGUGAUUGACAACUAGCUUUGACUACGCAGUAUAGGUGGGAGGUGAUGAAGUAUUCCUUGUGGGGAAUAUGGAGCCAGUAGUGAGAUACCACUUUGUCAGAGAUGGGAGUCUAACCAGUCACCGUUAUCCGGUGCUGAGACAGUUUCAGGUGGGCAGUUUGACUGGGGCGGUCGCCUCCUAAAAGGUAACGGAGGCGCACAAAGGUUCCCUCAGCACGGUUGGAAAUCGUGCGGCGAGUGUAAAGGCAAUAAGGGAGCUUGACUGCAAGAGUCACAACUCAAGCAGAUAGGAAACUAGGUCUUAGUGAUCCGACGGUUCAGAGUGGAAUGGCCGUCGCUCAACGGAUAAAAGUUACUCUAGGGAUAACAGGCUGAUCUCCGCCAAGAGUUCACAUCGACGCGGAGGUUUGGCACCUCGAUGUCGGCUCAUCGCAACCUGGAGCGGAAGUACGUUCCAAGGGUUGGGCUGUUCGCCCAUUAAAGCGGUACGUGAGCUGGGUUCAGAACGUCGUGAGACAGUUCGGUCCAUAUCCGGUGUAGGCGCAAGAGUAUUGAGAGGAGUCCCCUUUAGUACGAGAGGACCGAGGGGAACGCACCUCUGGUGUACCAGUUAUUCCGCCAGGAGUAAACGCUGGGUAGCCAAGUGCGGAGUGGAUAACUGCUGAAAGCAUCUAAGUAGGAAGCCCACCUCAAGAUGAGUACUCUCAUGGCAUAAGCCAGUAAGGUCACGGGUAGAUUACCCGUACAUAGGCGGUAGGUGGAAGUGCAGUAAUGUAUGCAGCCGAGCCGUGCUAACAGACCGAGGGCUUGACCUC
RNAcentral lists this ribosomal RNA (2904 nucleotides) under Nostoc minutum NIES-26. RNAcentral describes it as "bacterial LSU rRNA". It matches the Rfam family "Bacterial large subunit ribosomal RNA". The record is from RNAcentral. Lineage: Bacteria; Bacillati; Cyanobacteriota; Cyanophyceae; Nostocales; Nostocaceae.